RNAcentral lists this ribosomal RNA (253 nucleotides) under uncultured bacterium. RNAcentral's name for it is "partial 16S ribosomal RNA". It matches the Rfam family "Bacterial small subunit ribosomal RNA", at positions 524 to 776 of the family's 1533-position model. The record is from RNAcentral.
UACGAAGGGGGCUAGCGUUGUUCGGAAUCACUGGGCGUAAAGCGCACGUAGGCGGACUUUCAAGUCAGGGGUGAAAUCCCGGAGCUCAACUUCGGAAUUGCCUCUGAUACUGUUGGUCUCGAGUCCGGAAGAGGUGGGUGGAAUUCCUAGUGUAGAGGUGAAAUUCGUAGAUAUUAGGAAGAACACCAGUGGCGAAGGCGGCCCACUGGUCCGGUACUGACGCUGAGGUGCGAAAGCGUGGGGAGCAAACAGG